AGUACUUUAGAUGCACAAAAUAUAUAUUCUUACACAUAAAUGUUAAAUGAAUUGCUAAAAUAUAGGAUGCCAGUUGAUCAUGCUCAAAAAUAUUUUAGUAUCUUAUGAGGAAGAAAGUUCUUACAAAGUAGUUUUGUCAGUGGUGCUCUUAAAAGUAAACUCAGUAAUAAAGUUAUUGAUCACUUCCAUGCAAAGGUAACGGGUGUAAAAAAAGUCUUAGAGUUGAUGGGAGUCUCUCUAAAAACACAUUUUCCCAAUGAAAAAUGUGUAAACAAACAUUUUUAUAAUACAAGAAUUACAGAAAUUUGAACCUAACUCCAAAAAUGGAAUGAGAAGUCUCACUUCUGUUUCUGUAAAAAGCUCAAACUUCUCGCUCUGCCAAAGCUUUCCCCUGUUAAAGGAAAAACUUUUCCCCAGGUUUGAGGCAUGCUGCAAAUAUUCACUAUUCCAGAUGCCUUUCUACACUUGCCACUCCUACAUUCAGAAGUCCUUUACUUUUCGCAGAAUCACAGAAACACAGAAAGGACUGAGUUGGAAGGGACCCACAAGGAUCACUGAGUCCAACUCCCACAAGCCAUCCUGAUUGCCGAUUUAUAUCACACUAAUUCUUUCAAUUGAAGAACAGCAGCCGGUAUUGCAGCAGCCCUGCCAAAGAACACACUGAGAUUAUGCACUAGACCGUGACUUAGAGAAAUGGGAACAUGAUGAAUGAAGACUUUGAAGGCACAAUAAAGAGGAGUAAAAGCAAGGCAUGGGGUUUUGGAAAACAGGCCAGGAGUUGCAAGGAGUGCCUUGGUGAGGGAUGUUCUGCCAGGCAAUCUUGAGGAGCAAAGAAAAUAAGCAGACAAGAACAAAAGAAAGCAACUUAGUGUCACUUUUCUGAGCCAAAUCCCAAAGCAAGAAAAUUCACAAUGUAUCUGGUUUUUCUUACGAGGCCUAGACAGGACUCUUUUCUUCUUACGAGCUCACCAAUAUGUUGCAAGGCAGCUUCCCAUAUGCUGUGGGACCAAAUCUUCUAGGCUCUGCAGAAGGAACAGCUUUUCCUUUUUCAACAGUGCUAACUCUGCUGAGGACCUACCCAACUUCCCACAGAAAGCACUAAUCAUCAACAGAGGGAGAAGUUUGCAAGUUUUCCCGAAAGAAGGCCAAAUCUGUCUCCUCUACCUUGGGAAGGAAGGCAGUGGAUGAAAAACCAAGCAUCACCCCAUCCUUGAGACUAUGAUUACUUCAGUGAAAACAUGGAAGCUUUAAAUAAAGGUAAAGGAAAAAUAAGUGGAA
Corvus hawaiiensis (hawaiian crow) is the source of this 1278-nucleotide long non-coding RNA. RefSeq lists it as uncharacterized. NCBI's taxonomy places the organism in Eukaryota, Metazoa, Chordata, Aves, Passeriformes, Corvidae. The record is from RefSeq and is a predicted model, not a curated record. The transcript is spliced from 4 exons.